Molecule: long non-coding RNA, 285 nt
Organism: Oncorhynchus tshawytscha (Chinook salmon)
Lineage: Eukaryota; Metazoa; Chordata; Actinopteri; Salmoniformes; Salmonidae
Exons: 3
Source: RefSeq, a predicted model, not a curated record
CCGAGUGGAUCUACAGCUCAACGAACAAGCGCGCAGGGCAACGAAGCUGCACAAUGAAAAGGCACAGAUCCAACCACAAAGACCAGAGGGCUUUUUCAAUGCCUCAAAGAACGGCACCGAUUGAUUGGAACCAACACGCAGUACCUCCAGCAGGCAGAGAAGCAAGAACCACUAUUCCUCCAGCUCAGGGACAAGCUACGCUAUUCACAGCCCUGUGUAAUGUUUAAAAAGUCCAGCAAUGUAAUUCCAUUAAAGUUAAAUGUAUUUGUAUUAACUUAUGUAAAA